Small nucleolar RNA from Talpa occidentalis (Iberian mole), 150 nucleotides. The record is from RefSeq and is a predicted model, not a curated record. Lineage: Eukaryota; Metazoa; Chordata; Mammalia; Eulipotyphla; Talpidae.
AUUGCACACUGUUAAGAGCUUGGAGUUGAGGCCACUGGCUGGCCAACAAACUAGCAAGUAUAGGUAGUGUUUUACAUGAGGAACUGGUUUUUCACUAAUAUCACAAGGGUCUCUGACAAUGAGUGGAGUUUGAUAAUCUUUGCUACAAGU